AUUGAACGCUGGCGGAAUGCUUUACACAUGCAAGUCGAACGGUAGAGGGGGCAACCCCUCGAGAGUGGCGAACGGGUGAGUAAUAUAUCGGAACGUGCCCAGUCGUGGGGGAUAACGUAGCGAAAGUUACGCUAAUACCGCAUACGAUCUACGGAUGAAAGCGGGGGAUCGCAAGACCUCGCGCGAUUGGAGCGGCCGAUAUCAGAUUAGGUAGUUGGUGGGGUAAAGGCUCACCAAGCCAACGAUCUGUAGCUGGUCUGAGAGGACGACCAGCCACACUGGAACUGAGACACGGUCCAGACUCCUACGGGAGGCAGCAGUGGGGAAUUUUGGGACAAUGGACGCAAGUCUGAUCCAGCCAUUCCGCGUGCAGGAUGAAGGCCCUCGGGUUGUAAACUGCUUUUGUACGGAACGAAAAGGUUUCCAUUAAUACUGGGAGCUCAUGACGGUACCGUAAGAAUAAGCACCGGCUAACUACGUGCCAGCAGCCACGGU
This 495-nucleotide ribosomal RNA is filed under the name uncultured bacterium. RNAcentral's name for it is "bacterial SSU rRNA". It matches the Rfam family "Bacterial small subunit ribosomal RNA", at positions 30 to 521 of the family's 1533-position model. The record is from RNAcentral.